CAGCUAUAUCACACUGAAACACCAGUUCCCAUAUGAUCACCAAAAUUAAGCCAUGUCAAGCCUGGUCAGUACCUAGACAAGUGACCCCUUGGGAAUAUCAGGUGCUGUA
Acanthosepion pharaonis is the source of this 109-nucleotide non-coding RNA. The record is from the annotation of a GenBank genome assembly. NCBI's taxonomy places the organism in Eukaryota, Metazoa, Mollusca, Cephalopoda, Sepiida, Sepiidae.